Molecule: ribosomal RNA, 647 nt
Filed under: uncultured Hygrophorus
Lineage: Eukaryota; Fungi; Basidiomycota; Agaricomycetes; Agaricales; Hygrophoraceae
Description: eukaryotic LSU rRNA
Rfam family: 5.8S ribosomal RNA (bases 155-308)
Source: RNAcentral
GCCUAUGUAGUCUGCUGAGUUGUAGCUGAUCUUUUCAGAUAUGUGCACACCUCUAUCUACACACCCAUGUGCACCUUUUGUAGGCUUUUUUGCCUAUGUUUAUUAUUAUACACACACAAUUUUGUACAAAAAUGUUAUUGAUGAAAUUUAAUACAACUUUCAACAACGGAUCUCUUGGCUCUCGCAUCGAUGAAAAACGCAGCGAAAUGCGAUAAGUAAUGUGAAUUGCAAAAUUCAGGGAAUCAUCAAAUCUUUGAACGCACCUUGCGCUCCUUGGUAUUCCAAGGAGCAUGCCUGUUUGAGUGUCAUUAAAUUAUCAACCUCUUCAAAAGGCUUGAAUUUGGAGGGUUGCUGGCUUAUUGUUGGCUCCUCUUAAAUGAAUUAAGCUUGGGGGUAGGCUUUGGUUUGAUAAUAUCUAUGCCAUCGCUGUAAUGCAAAACAACCUUGAAAUUUGACCUCAAAUCAGGUAGGACUACCCGCUGAACUUAAGCAUAUCAAUAAGCGGAGGAAAAAAAACUAACAAGGAUUCCCCUAGUAACUGCAAGGGAAGCGGGAAAAGCUCAAAUUUAAAAUCUGAUAGUCUUUAUGGCUGUCCAAGUUGUAAUCUAAAAAAGUGCUUUCCGCGCUGGACCGUGAAAGUCUCUGGA